RNAcentral lists this long non-coding RNA (345 nucleotides) under Elaeis guineensis (African oil palm). RNAcentral's name for it is "long non-coding RNA (EGUI_LNC081074)". Lineage: Eukaryota; Viridiplantae; Streptophyta; Magnoliopsida; Arecales; Arecaceae. The record is from RNAcentral.
CCCUCCCUUGUGCACCAUUUGAGUGGAUAAAGAUUGAUUAGUUGGCCAUUCAAAUUCAAAUGAUGUUUGAAUUUGAAUGAGCAACUAAUCCCAUGCGCCACCUUAUCCACUUGUGCGCCACUUGCUCUACACGAGAAAAAGUUUCUCAUGUAAACUCUCCAUGCACAAAGAACCCACACCCCUUCUCUUCUCACACCUUGAGUGGAUAAGGAUAGGUUGGUUGGCAUUUGAAUUCAAAUUCGAUUUGAAUUCAAGUGAGCAACCACCUAGCUUUAUCCUCUCACGCGGUGAAAAUGCUGAAAAGAUGCGAUCUUGCACCAUUUUAAAAUGAGAGAGAAGGUGGGG